AUUGAACGCUGGCGGCAUGCUUUACACAUGCAAGUCGAACGGCAGCGCGGGCUUCGGCCUGGCGGCGAGUGGCGAACGGGUGAGUAAUACAUCGGAACGUGCCCAGUAGUGGGGGAUAGCUCGGCGAAAGCCGGAUUAAUACCGCAUACGACCUGAGGGUGAAAGCGGGGGAUCUUCGGACCUCGCGCUAUUGGAGCGGCCGAUGGCAGAUUAGCUAGUUGGUGGGGUAAAGGCCUACCAAGGCGACGAUCUGUAGCUGGUCUGAGAGGACGACCAGCCACACUGGGACUGAGACACGGCCCAGACUCCUACGGGAGGCAGCAGUGGGAAAUUUUGGACAAUGGGCGAAAGCCUGAUCCAGCAAUGCCGCGUGUGUGAUGAAGGCCUUCGGGUUGUAAAGCACUUUUGGCGGGAACGAAAAGGACUGUGCCAAUACCACGGUUCGAUGACGGUACCCGCAGAAUAAACACCGGCUAACUACGU
RNAcentral lists this ribosomal RNA (483 nucleotides) under uncultured bacterium. RNAcentral describes it as "partial 16S ribosomal RNA". It matches the Rfam family "Bacterial small subunit ribosomal RNA", at positions 29 to 506 of the family's 1533-position model. The record is from RNAcentral.